AACGUGAACCUUUGCACCUUAGCCAACAUGAUUUCUUAUUAAUUUACUACAAAUUCCUACAAAAAGCACUACAACCAGACAUGAUUUCUUCACUUUUAACGCUACAACGUGAUUUCUUCAACCAAUAAGAUUUCUUAGCACAGUAGUAACAUGGGAUUUUGUGAUUCUAAGGGAGUACGGUGCAUGGUGAAACCUUUCCAAGAAUAUCAUACGGAUUUUUACAUACUCCAGGUAUGUUAAGGCUAUCCCUUCUUUCUUUUUGGCAUGAUCUAUACGACACAAGCGAAACGAGCAAAUACACAACUUCCAUAAAUGACUCUAUUUAUAAAAAUACUAGGGGUGUCUAUAUUCUUGAUUCCCCAUGUGAAUUAGUAAUUAGUCACGGCACAAGGAGCAAAGAGAGAUAAAAUAUAAAUAUAAGUCAUAAUUGAGCAAUCUAUCACUGAAAUGGAAAGAGUCCAGUAAGCUAGACUGUAUGCAAGUGUACAUGAUUGUAAAAGCCUUUAAAGCUGUAGAGAAAAGGUUGAAUGUACCAUCGUGUAUCGUCUUGCUUCGCUUAUAUUCUGUUAUUGAUUCUCUUAUCAUUGAAAUAUUUGAGCAGCAAGGCUUAACAACACUAACACAAUGAUUUUCCCAUAUGAAAAAAAUAUUGUUAUCUCUUAAUUAUUAUUAUAUCUUCUAUUCAUGGGUCUCAGAAAAAUACGUAUUUGAUAAAGUUUAUUCGACAAACAUAUUAUUUUUAUGACAUUCCGAGAAAUAUUAUUAACGUAUCUCUUAUGAAUUUCAUGCAUUUAUACAUGUACAUUGACCCAUGGCCAGAUGACGUUAUAUACGUGUAUAUAUUUGGGAUAUGGAAAAAGGUUACGGCAUUAUAUACGCACCACUACCUGAUCAGCUGGUAUACGUUGAUGAUUUCGCCCACAAUGGCCGAGAUGAUACGAUGGGAUGCCCUCAGAGGCCUGAUGAUGUUAUGAAAUAUGUACCUAUGCAUGACAUGACAUCCAUACGCAUAUGCAUGACACUAUAAUUAUUUCAUGAUUUAUAGAGUUAUCCAGACUUACAGGUUGAGUCAUUUACUCUAUAAUUCUUCUAUGUCUGUUAUGUACUUAUUUAUGUGCCUUAUAUACUCGGUACAUUAUUCGUACUGACGUCCCUUUUGCCUGGGGAUGCUGCAUUUCAUGCCCGCAGGUCCUGAUAGAUAGGUCGAG
This 1208-nucleotide long non-coding RNA is filed under the name Nicotiana tabacum (common tobacco). RNAcentral's name for it is "long non-coding RNA (NTAB_LNC003279)". The record is from RNAcentral. Lineage: Eukaryota; Viridiplantae; Streptophyta; Magnoliopsida; Solanales; Solanaceae.